This 1509-nucleotide ribosomal RNA is filed under the name metagenome. Its description in RNAcentral is "bacterial SSU rRNA". It matches the Rfam family "Bacterial small subunit ribosomal RNA". The record is from RNAcentral.
AGAGUUUGAUCCUGGCUCAGGACGAACGCUGGCGGCGUGCCUAAUACAUGCAAGUCGAGCGGACAGAUGGGAGCUUGCUCCCUGAUGUUAGCGGCGGACGGGUGAGUAACACGUGGGUAACCUGCCUGUAAGACUGGGAUAACUCCGGGAAACCGGGGCUAAUACCGGAUGGUUGUUUGAACCGCAUGGUUCAAACAUAAAAGGUGGCUUCGGCUACCACUUGCAGAUGGACCCGCGGCGCAUUAGCUAGUUGGUGAGGUAAUGGCUCACCAAGGCAGCGAUGCGUAGCCGACCUGAGAGGGUGAUCGGCCACACUGGGACUGAGACACGGCCCUGACUCCUACGGGAGGCAGCAGUAGGGAAUCUUCCGCAAUGGACGAAAGUCUGACGGAGCAACGCCGCGUGAGUGAUGAAGGUUUUCGGAUCGUAAAGCUCUGUUGUUAGGGAAGAACAAGUGCCGUUCGAAUAGGGCGGUACCUUGACGGUACCUAACCAGAAAGCCACGGCUAACUACGUGCCAGCAGCCGCGGUAAUACGUAGGUGGCAAGCGUUGUCCGGAAUUAUUGGGCGUAAAGGGCUCGCAGGCGGUUUCUUAAGUCUGAUGUGAAAGCCCCCGGCUCAACCGGGGAGGGUCAUUGGAAACUGGGGAACUUGAGUGCAGAAGAGGAGAGUGGAAUUCCACGUGUAGCGGUGAAAUGCGUAGAGAUGUGGAGGAACACCAGUGGCGAAGGCGACUCUCUGGUCUGUAACUGACGCUGAGGAGCGAAAGCGUGGGGAGCGAACAGGAUUAGAUACCCUGGUAGUCCACGCCGUAAACGAUGAGUGCUAAGUGUUAGGGGGUUUUCCGCCCCUUAGUGCUGCAGCUAACGCAUUAAGCACUCCGCCUGGGGAGUACGGUCGCAAGACUGAAACUCAAAGGAAUUGACGGGGGCCCGCACAAGCGGAGGAGCAUGUGGUUUAAUUCGAAGCAACGCGAAGAACCUUACCAGGUCUUGACAUCCUCUGACAAUCCUAGAGAUAGGACGUCCCCUUCGGGGGCAGAGUGACAGGUGGUGCAUGGUUGUCGUCAGCUCGUGUCGUGAGAUGUUGGGUUAAGUCCCGCAACGAGCGCAACCCUUGAUCUUAGUUGCCAGCAUUCAGUUGGGCACUCUAAGGUGACUGCCGGUGACAAACCGGAGGAAGGUGGGGAUGACGUCAAAUCAUCAUGCCCCUUAUGACCUGGGCUACACACGUGCUACAAUGGACAGAACAAAGGGCAGCGAAACCGCGAGGUUAAGCCAAUCCCACAAAUCUGUUCUCAGUUCGGAUCGCAGUCUGCAACUCGACUGCGUGAAGCUGGAAUCGCUAGUAAUCGCGGAUCAGCAUGCCGCGGUGAAUACGUUCCCGGGCCUUGUACACACCGCCCGUCACACCACGAGAGUUUGUAACACCCGAAGUCGGUGAGGUAACCUUUUAGGAGCCAGCCGCCGAAGGUGGGACAGAUGAUUGGGGUGAAGUCGAAACAAGGUA